Molecule: ribosomal RNA, 121 nt
Filed under: Pteropus alecto (black flying fox)
Lineage: Eukaryota; Metazoa; Chordata; Mammalia; Chiroptera; Pteropodidae
Source: RNAcentral
CUGAACAUUCAUGCCAACCCGAACAAGUCUGAUCCCAUCUGAUGAUCUUGGAACCUAAGCAGGGUCAGCCUGGUUAGUACUUGGAUGGGAGACCACCUAGGAAGACCAGGUGCUGUAGGCA